Molecule: ribosomal RNA, 663 nt
Filed under: uncultured cyanobacterium
Lineage: Bacteria; Bacillati; Cyanobacteriota
Description: bacterial SSU rRNA
Rfam family: Bacterial small subunit ribosomal RNA
Source: RNAcentral
CGGACGGGUGAGUAACGCGUGAGAAUCUGGCUUCAGGUCUGGGACAACCACUGGAAACGGUGGCUAAUACCGGAUGUGCCGAGAGGUGAAAGGUUAACUGCCUGAAGAUGAGCUCGCGUCUGAUUAGCUAGUUGGAAGUGUAAUGGACUCCCAAGGCGACGAUCAGUAGCUGGUCUGAGAGGACGAUCAGCCACACUGGGACUGAGACACGGCCCAGACUCCUACGGGAGGCAGCAGUGGGGAAUUUUCCGCAAUGGGCGAAAGCCUGACGGAGCAAUACCGCGUGAGGGAGGAAGGCUCUUGGGUCGUAAACCUCUUUUCUCAGGGAAGAACAAAAUGACGGUACCUGAGGAAUAAGCAUCGGCUAACUCCGUGCCAGCAGCCGCGGUAAUACGGAGGAUGCAAGCGUUAUCCGGGAUGAUUGGGCGUAAAGCGUCCGCAGGUGGCUAUGUAAGUCUGCUGUUAAAGAGUCUAGCUCAACUAGAUAAGAGCAGUGGAAACUACAAGGCUAGAGUACGUUCGGGGCAGAGGGAAUUCCUGGUGUAGCGGUGAAAUGCGUAGAGAUCAGGAAGAACACCGGUGGCGAAGGCGCUCUGCUAGGCCGUAACUGACACUGAGGGACGAAAGCUAGGGGAGCGAAUGGGAUUAGAUACCCCAGUAGUC